Molecule: ribosomal RNA, 460 nt
Filed under: uncultured bacterium
Lineage: Bacteria
Description: partial 16S ribosomal RNA
Rfam family: Bacterial small subunit ribosomal RNA
Source: RNAcentral
CCUACGGGGGGCAGCAGUGAGGAAUAUUGGUCAAUGGGCGAGAGCCUGAACCAGCCAAGUCGCGUGAAGGAUGACGGCCCUACGGGUUGUAAACUUCUUUUGUCAGGGAGCAAUUGAGUCCACGUGUGGGCUUAGCGAGAGUACCUGAAGAAAAAGCAUCGGCUAACUCCGUGCCAGCAGCCGCGGUAAUACGGAGGAUGCGAGCGUUAUCCGGUUUUAUUGGGUUUAAAGGGUGCGUAGGCGGAAUAUCAAGUCAGCGGUAAAAAUUCGGGGCUCAACCCCGUCGUGCCGUUGAAACUGAUGUUCUGGAGUGGGCAAGAAGUAGGCGGAAUGCGUGGUGUAGCGGUGAAAUGCAUAGAUAUCACGCAGAACUCCGAUUGCGAAGGCAGCAUACCGGCGCCCAACUGACGCUGAAGCACGAAAGCGUGGGUAUCGAACAGGAUUAGAUACCCCGGUAGUC